RNAcentral lists this ribosomal RNA (468 nucleotides) under uncultured bacterium. Its description in RNAcentral is "partial 16S ribosomal RNA". It matches the Rfam family "Bacterial small subunit ribosomal RNA", at positions 28 to 507 of the family's 1533-position model. The record is from RNAcentral.
GACGAACGCUGGCGGCGUGCUUAACACAUGCAAGUCGAACGGAAAGGCCCUGCUUUUGUGGGGUGCUCGAGUGGCGAACGGGUGAGUAACACGUGAGUAACCUGCCCUUGACUUUGGGAUAACUUCAGGAAACUGGGGCUAAUACCGGAUAGGAGCUCCUGCUGCAUGGUGGGGGUUGGAAAGUUUCGGCGGUUGGGGAUGGACUCGCGGCUUAUCAGCUUGUUGGUGGGGUAGUGGCUUACCAAGGCUUUGACGGGUAGCCGGCCUGAGAGGGUGACCGGCCACAUUGGGACUGAGAUACGGCCCAGACUCCUACGGGAGGCAGCAGUGGGGAAUAUUGCACAAUGGGCGGAAGCCUGAUGCGGCAACGCCGCGUGUGGGAUGACGGCCUUCGGGUUGUAAACCGCUUUCGCCUGUGACGAAGCGUGAGUGACGGUAAUGGGUAAAGAAGCACCGGCUAACUACGUG